GAUGAACGCUGGCGGCGUGCCUAAUACAUGCAAGUCGAGCGAACAGAUAAGGAGCUUGCUCCUUUGACGUUAGCGGCGGACGGGUGAGUAACACGUGGAUAACCUACCUAUAAGACUGGGAUAACUUCGGGAAACCGGAGCUAAUACCGGAUAAGAUUUUGAACCGCAUGGUUCAAUAGUGAAAGACGGCCUUGCUGUCACUUAUAGAUGGAUCCGCGCCGUAUUAGCUAGUUGGUAAGGUAACGGCUUACCAAGGCAACGAUACGUAGCCGACCUGAGAGGGUGAUCGGCCACACUGGAACUGAGACACGGUCCAGACUCCUACGGGAGGCAGCAGUAGGGAAUCUUCCGCAAUGGGCGAAAGCCUGACGGAGCAACGCCGCGUGAGUGAUGAAGGUCUUCGGAUCGUAAAACUCUGUUAUCAGGGAAGAACAAACGUGUAAGUAACUGUGCACGUCUUGACGGUACCUGAUCAGAAAGCCACGGCUAACUACGUG
This 497-nucleotide ribosomal RNA is filed under the name uncultured bacterium. RNAcentral's name for it is "partial 16S ribosomal RNA". It matches the Rfam family "Bacterial small subunit ribosomal RNA", at positions 28 to 507 of the family's 1533-position model. The record is from RNAcentral.